RNAcentral lists this long non-coding RNA (1244 nucleotides) under Ursus thibetanus thibetanus. RNAcentral describes it as "lncRNA (ENSUTTG00000005406.1)". The record is from RNAcentral. Lineage: Eukaryota; Metazoa; Chordata; Mammalia; Carnivora; Ursidae.
UCUCUCAAGAGGGAGCUCCAGAUGGUGAAGGAAACUCUGCAGGCCAUGAUCCUGCAGCUCCAGCCAGCAAAGGAGGCGGGAGACCGAGAGGCUGCAGCUUCCUGUGUGACAGCUGGUGUCCAGGAAGCACAGGCCUGAGGCGGGAAAGGAUGGGGGGAGGGUGAGCGGCCACGUCAUCGAUAUGGAUGCACCGGAGGCCUCUCUCACCUCCCCUGCAUGAACCAAUGUGCCUGAAUCAAUGACGGACACAGGGCCCCAAGGCCUCCCCGCAGAGAGGUGGUCCCCCUUUGCGCUCCUGGGGCUGAGAAUGGGGAGACCGCACGUUGGAAUAUGGAGGGGUCGAUGUGCUGGAUUUCCUUCCAAGGGUCACCCAGAGGCACCUUUCCUGGGUCGUUCAUGGGAGCUUCCUGUACAGGACUUGAAAAUCUUCUCGUCUCAGCUCCCAUUAGGCAGAAGUUGGGGUUGAAUUCUGCUAGAAAAAUGUCUCUUUUCCUGUACCAUCUUGCUUUCUGCUGCAAUUAAAAUAUCUCCUGAUUUAAGAACCUGUUAAGAGGAAACUAACCGUAAGUCUCUUUCACCAUACCUGUUAUACUUUCCUACAGGCGCAUGAUCUAAGGGAGCUAAUUAACCCCAGGAUCUGGAAUUAACAGCUUUUCACCUUCUCCUAUGAUUCACUACAAUCUCAGAAGAAUGCAUAUGAAAAAUUCCGAAAGACAUUUCUUUAAAGUAACACGAGGUGCAGUCUUUUGGUUGUCCUAUUAGAGCAGCUCCUAUUUCUACUGAAAGGGUCAUUGGUGUUUCCAGGACACCCUGGAAUUUGCCCACAAUGACAGCAGGAAGGGAGCAGGGGCAGAAAGGGAUCAUACGACCAUAUGACAAGUUUAAAUUUCUGGGCCUCUCCUCUUUUCCUCCCUAUCCUGUUUUCACUCAGUACCAGACAGGACACGGGUGUGGAAACUUUCAUUCAGUACAGUGCGGUACUCAGUAAGAGAGCGCACACUCGGGAAGGCAGUGCAUACUGUGUAAGACAGAGAAGCACUCAGCAAGGCGGUAUAGUACUCAGGAAGGCAGUGCAUACUCAGGAAGCCAGUGCAGUACUCAGGAAGGCAGAGCAGUACUCAGGAAGGCAGUGCAGUACUCAGGAGGGCAGAGCAGUACUCAGGAAGGCAAUGCAUACUCAGGAGGGCAGUGCAUACUCAGUAAUGUGGGGCAUUGCAGGCCCCUCCCUGCUGAGGCAGAUGUGA